UACGUAGGGUGCAAGCGUUGUCCGGAAUCAUUGGGCGUAAAGCGCGCGUAGGCGGCCCGAUAAGUCCGCUGUAAAAGUCAACGGCUCAACUGUUGAAAGCCGGUGGAUACUGUCGGGCUAGAGUACGGAAGAGGCAAGUGGAAUUCCUGGUGUAGCGGUGGAAUGCGCAGAUAUCAGGAGGAACACCUGUGGCGAAAGCGGCUCACUGGACCACAACUGACGCUGAGGCGCGAAAGCUAGGGGAGCAAACAGG
RNAcentral lists this ribosomal RNA (253 nucleotides) under uncultured bacterium. RNAcentral's name for it is "partial 16S ribosomal RNA". It matches the Rfam family "Bacterial small subunit ribosomal RNA", at positions 524 to 776 of the family's 1533-position model. The record is from RNAcentral.